This 647-nucleotide long non-coding RNA is filed under the name Spirodela polyrhiza (greater duckweed). RNAcentral's name for it is "long non-coding RNA (SPOL_LNC002580)". Lineage: Eukaryota; Viridiplantae; Streptophyta; Magnoliopsida; Alismatales; Araceae. The record is from RNAcentral.
UUAAUGCGGCGGCGGUGGCUGGAAGGGGAGAAGCGGGGUCUUGGAUUCUUCUGCAGGUUUCCAUGCCUCGGUGCUCCUGUUCGUCCCUUCGUUCCACCGAAUGGGGCUCGAAAUGGACGGAUCUGGAGGUGCCUCCCAUCGGUCCCCAUGCUCUGAGUUAAUGCUCUGGUGAGUUCAAAUCUUUACGCAGGGAUCCCUGCAGCCCCCACCCCCCCCGCUCUGGCUGGUCUCAUUCAUUCGUUUGUCGAACUCGUGGCGACUGCGGUCGUUUCGUCGCUCUCCCAACGGAGACAGGACACGUCGUCCGUCACCUGGCGGAAUAGUCGACGAACCUGUCGCCCCGACUCACUCAUCUCCAGCAGGAUGCCGGAAGGCUGACUGCAAGAACGCCAGUCGCCAGUUUCUUCCUUGCUUCUUCUGCUCCAGGUUUUGCGCGCUCCUGAGUUUUCCCGCUCAGUAAAUCCAAUUUGAAUGUAGGGUGAGAUGAACGGAACAAUCUCGACUGGGGCAGUUUCGUCAAAGCUAGAGAACGGCUCCGAUCACGCGCACUUUGUUUGCAGGCAUGAAUGCGAUCCUCUUGUUACUUCUGAAUUCGAUAUUUCUCUCUUCAUGAACCAUAUUUGCGCACCUACCCUUAAACCCCCCCC